GGCUACGUAGCUCAGUUGGUUAGAGCACAUCACUCAUAAUGAUGGGGUCACAGGAGCACAUCACUCAUAAUGAUGGGGUCACAGGUUCAAAUCCCGUCGUAGCCACCA
Molecule: transfer RNA, 108 nt
Filed under: Vibrio cholerae O1 biovar El Tor
Lineage: Bacteria; Pseudomonadati; Pseudomonadota; Gammaproteobacteria; Vibrionales; Vibrionaceae
Description: tRNA-OTHER
Rfam family: tRNA
About the family: Transfer RNA (tRNA) molecules are approximately 80 nucleotides in length. Their secondary structure includes four short double-helical elements and three loops (D, anti-codon, and T loops).
Source: RNAcentral